GCUCUUUUCAUUCAGUUCCUUUUUCUCUGCAAGAAACUCCUGAAUAUAUUUGUAAUGACAAGAGAAACCUUUUUUGCUUCUACAAAAUUUAUAGCAGCGUUCUAUUUUUCUGCCAGAAAAUCCUCUUACAGUGAACUCUAGAUGCUGAAGACAGAUGGACCACCAGAUGGACCCUGGGAAGGAUUGGUUAAAAUGUCAGUGAUAAGCUAACAGAAUGAAAUGCAGUAGACUGAGGAGACUAUUCUGCUGAAAACCAUCUACUGAAAUGGGGUUUGUAUUAUUCACAUUCAUUAAAGCACACUUCAACUGUGCUGUUUUGACAUUUUCUGUUUCGAGACUUUCAAGUCAAGCAGCUCUGUGUUUGCUGUUUUGCUGAGGUUUUUUUCUUUUCCAAAUGGUUGUUUGAUGAUAGAUUUUCAAAAGUGACCCUAGCUCUUUAAGGCGAUUGCUUUGCCAUUGAGGAAUCUUGCCAUUGUUAUAUUCAGCCAUCAAACUUACAAGUACACCAAUUCAGACUCUGAAGAGCAAACUGAUGUAAGGAUGAAGAUUAUAUAAGGGACAGAAGUGAGUUAUUGCUUGCUUCUGGUAAACUCGCAUAACUUGCUUUCCAAUUCUUACCGUUCAUUUACCUGCAAUACUAAUUCCAACAACUUCUUUGGAUUAAGCCUUGAGAAUUUCAUUACAAACAUGGAAAGAAAUGCAUACACAUGGCAGUGUAUCAGCAGUAGGGAACAAGCUAAGACGGGUCAGGAAAGACUCCAGGCAGAAGCUUUGUUGCAAAACAGAAACACAAAAUAGAGAUUUGCCUGAUUUCAUGUGGUUCAUCAUUCAGCUGCUUGAUUUCUCCACUCUUCAUUUGCUUCACAAGAAAAAAAGCUGUUUCCUUCAAACUUGCAAUAUUAGUUAUGAUUCUGCACCAGUGCCACAUGGCUAGUCUACCCAUAACUUCAUAAGGGAUAUUCUGCAGUUUCAAGUACAAAUCAAUUGUCACAAGAUCAACAUCAAAAUAUCUUCUUUACUGAGUCACACUAUAAAUUCUAUCAUGAAUAUUGCCAUUCAAUGAUUCAUAAAUAAAAACAAACGUUAGCAUUGAGAGGUAUUCCUCUCUUACUUGAAACAAUUCCCA
RNAcentral lists this long non-coding RNA (1126 nucleotides) under Gallus gallus (chicken). RNAcentral describes it as "lncRNA (ENSGALG00010026391.1)". Lineage: Eukaryota; Metazoa; Chordata; Aves; Galliformes; Phasianidae. The record is from RNAcentral.